AAUGAGAUACUGGAGAAAACCAUUAUAGAUGCUGGGGUAAUGCUUGAUGAGUUACUGAUAAUGAUGUUACAGGCGGUGGCAGUGACAGCGAUAACUGUGGUUUUGUAGUGUUUAGAGGGCAGUUUUCUUUUUGGAUCUCGGAGGACCAAAAGAUAAAGAAAGUGUAAGGUCAAAAUCUUCUUCAUCUUCACCUUCCAAAUCUUGCUGGCUAAUGAUGUUGUUGCUGCUGCUGCUGCUGCUUUGCUUUCUCUUCGUGGAGAUCUCUUGCUUAUUGGUUUCUAAAUCUUGUCGGCUUUUCAUGGUGUGAGUAAAAGAGGGAGAGAGGAAAACGAGAGAGAUGGAAUUUGAAAGGACAAUAAAAAUUGGAGAUAUAGUUAUGGAAGCAGAAUAUAUAAGAUAAAAAAGAGACUACUGGUCAUCUUUCUCUGUGUUUGUUAUGCUGUUCUUCCCCUACCGGCCGGUCACCUUUUUUACUGGGUCUUUUUCACUCUGUCUCAGCAAGUCUAUAAUUUAAUAAAAUCAAAGUUUGAAGAAGAUUUGAAAAUUUGUUUCACAUCUUUUAUCUGAAUUACAAAACAUCAAUUUUAACCCAUCAAUUCCACAAUUCCCUUCAAGCAUAUGUGAGCUAUAUCAUUUGCAAUGUGCUUUAUAAAAAAUCACAUUUAAAACCACAUCUAAUUUAAUUCUAUUCUCAAAUUAAUAAUUUUACAUCUAAAUCGUCUCUUUCUACGUCAUUUUUGUUGAAUUUUGAUGGUUCAUUCCAAUCCGCAAAGGAAUUGGAUAAUCAAAACUUUCAAUUUUAAUAUUAUAUUCAUCAUGGUCAAGAAGUUAUUUUUCCUAUUCAUAAUCUCUUAGACUCCUCACCCCUACCGAAUGAUGGGUUAAUUUUACAAUCCAUUUUCAUAUGUAUCAGAUUUUCUUCUACACAAGCUCAUCUUAUUUCGCCACCUCUUAUAGCCAUGGUUAUUUCAAUACACAGCAAGUAAAUAAAUUUCAAGAUAGUUAAAUUCUAAUAUCAAUUGACACAAAUAAAAAUACAAACAAGAAAAUAAUAAGUUAAAAAGAUAAAAUUAAAGUUGAAUAUGGUUAUCAUAUAAAAUCCUAAUUUAUAAUUUUAUUUUUAGAAUAAAAGUAUAAUAUGUUAUUCUAAAAUACAAGGUAAAUAACCUUAUUUAUACUGGUUUUAAAUUGAAAAAAAAUCUCAAUUAAUAAUUAUUAAGUUGUUUUAGGGAUACCUAAACUAAAAAGAAAAAAAAAUAGCAAUCUUAAUAUUGUUUGAUUUUCUAAAAUAAAUAGAAAAAAAUAAUCAUGAAGUAAAAAAGAUUCCUAAACUAAAUAAGAAAUAAUAAUAAUAAUUAAAAAAUAAUAUUUUUUCCCUAAAAUUCCUCCAAGCUCUAUAAACCAUAAAACUGGUCUAGACAUAUCUUAUAGCUAACUGGAUUCUUCAGAACUAUCACACCAAUUUUUAGAGCAUCAAAGUCGAAUUGAAGUAGGGUUAAGUUAUUAAUUUUAUUUAUAAAAAAAAAUUAUCAUGUGAUUUUUUUUCAAAUUCUAAAAAGUGGUAAGCAGAUGUGAUAUUAGUAUGACAACACUUACUUAGCUAUAAUACAUUAGGUUUUAAGUUGGAUUUAAUUCUGUUAAACCACGAAACACCAGCCUGCAUCAGAAACGACUGGUCGUAUUGAAAAGAGGCAAGCUUUUGCAAAUAUGAAAUAUCUCCUCCCUCCUCCCCUCUUGAUCCAUCCCCCUUGUUGAGUAAAAGCCCUUCCUUGUCUAUUUGGAGGACUUCAGGGUCCAAUAUCAAGCUUGGCAGUGGCUGUAGGAUUUACUUUUCUAGCGAUGAAGUAUAGCUCAGGCGAUACUCCCUCGGUGUUGAAUCCAAAAGAACUCCCGGCUGGAACGCCGGGGUUUCUUGGAUGUAGUAUUGGCACCAUUUAAGCCUAUGAAACUGGGUUUCGAUGAAAAUGAGUGACGCCAAGUAAAGUGAGUUUUUCUCACCUGAAAAAGGAGAGGAUGUCAUGCCACUAUCCACCGGCAUCCUUAUGGCCGCCGAGUAAAAUGCGUCUGCCGGGAGUCGAACCCGGGUCUAUUGCUUGGAAGGCAAUUAUCCUAACCGUUGGACUACAAACGCUUUUGUUGACUGAUCACUGUGUUUGAUAAAUUUUGAAUUCUGUUUCUGUCGCUUGUUUUAAAGAAAAGCGUGAAGUCGUCAUUUUAGAAUAAAUAAAUAAUUUUAAAAAAUCCUUAAAGAUAGUCCGUCCGUCGGGUCAACUCUCAAUUUGAUUUGUCAAGAAAUCCGAUUUUACGUCAGAUUAUAAAAUUAAUGUAUUGGUUUGAUUACUAUGAUUUUUAAAUUUGACGGGGGCAAAAAAAAAAAAAAAGCUCAUAUAAGAUGAGGCACCCUCUUCCUCUUCAUCAUCUAGAUUUUCCUAUACUUGUAGGUCCAAAAACAACAUAUUAUUGAUGCGAUUUAAUUCUAUUUUUUUCUGUGUUUUAAAAGUAUUUUUAAAAAAAAUUAAUUUUUUAGUUUUAAAUUAAUAUGUUUUUAGUAUUUUCAAAUUGUUUUUGAUGUGCUGAUAUCAAAAAUAAUUUUUUUAAAAUUAAAAAAUAUUAUUAGCAUGUAUUUUGAUACGAAAAGUUAUUUGAGAAUCAACCAGAACCAAAUUGCCAAACAAGCUAUCAGUAUAUGAAUGGAAAUUUUAUAGUUGGAAAAUAUGUUGCAAUGUCGCGGUCGCACAAAUUAAUUACCCUAGCUUAAAACACACAAGAUAGUAUAGAGAAAGCAAGAGGUCGAUCCCACGAGGAAGUUUGAAGUCAGAUUUUUAUGUUGUACAUUAUGUAAUUGGGGGGGAUUGAUUUGCAAUGAUUUAAACUAUGGCAGAAAUUAAACUAACAAACAAAAUCAAUUGAAAUUGAAAUAUAUCAAGAAAACAAACCUUGGUUGCAAGCACACAUCCACCAAUGAAAAUUAGAACCGAUCCUUGAAACGAAACUCCAGUUUAUAUCAUGAAUUUUAUCUUUUUUUAAUAUUGGUUAAUUAACGGAUCCGCCGUAUAACUAGCCCUAACCAACAAACAAUCACAGUGUCCGCACUAAUGAUUUAAUCCAAUGGCAGCCUUAAGAUCCAGAUAAAUUCAUUAAUCUUAACAACCAAGUUGUCAAUUUGUGUUGCUAUGAUCGAAUGUUCUCCCUAAGUUUAAUAACGUAGUUCCGCUACAAUUAUCAAGCUUAGUUGCUUCACAAGUUUAUAUACCACAACUCCGGUUUUGAUAUCAAACUUAGCAAUAGAUUGUUCACAAUAAUAACUUAGAGUCCGCUCUAGCAAUUAAGAUAAACAAUCAUAGGAAAUAUGCAUAGGAAAACAAUCAUACUCAUUCAUAACAUAAACUGAAAAUAAAAGGAAGAAUAAAUCUCACGGUUCUUGAAAUCCGAAGGUUUGUUGUGUCCUUGCAACCAAGAAAACGAGCUUAGCCUUGCAUAUCUAUUGAACAACUACUCCUAAAGAUGAAAGAAUACAUAAUUUCUGAUUUGUAGAGAGGAGAGUUUGUGUUUCCUCCCUUCUUGCUUCUUUCUACCUCCUUCUACUCACCCUCUAUUUAUACACAAAUUGUAAGUAAGAAAAUCAAAGUUCAAGUGUGAACAUCAAUAGAUGGUGGUAGUGUGAAGGCGGCUGGCGGCUGGCUGACUUGAGGUUGGUGGCUGGCUGCUGGCUGCUGGCUGCCUUGAGGUUGGUGGCUGCCUUCCUUGACCUUCUAGAAUAUUUACUAGAGGAGCUAAAUUGCUGGUCGGUUUGGAUGCUUCUGGAUGAAAUUUGGAUUCGUUUCUUCACGCAACCUGCUUGCUGGCAGAAUUCAGCUGUCAUCUUUGAAAAAUCAUAUCUCCCUCAUAUGACAUCGUUUUUGGCUGAAUUUUGGAGCGUUUAUAGAGCUUUGAGUAAGGAAUCCAAAACAAUUGAGUUUGCAUCAAUUAGACUUCUGAAGCGCCAGAUAUUGAAUUUUGAAUGGGAAAAGGUCAACAUUGGCAGACUGCGUGAUUUGACUUUGAAGGAUGUGAUUUCCAUGAUCUUUCUCUUUUUAUUUUUCUUGCAUUACAUUUCCAGACAGAAACGUAUGGAUGUUAGCUUUUUAAUUCCACUGGAAUCACUUCAUUUCGAUCUCUGAAACUCACGCUGUGCACAAAAUACCGACUGAACGUCAAAUCUGCCAAUUACCUCCAAUUUACUCCUUUUUGCAUCUUUCAUCCAAAAAUGCCUUCAAAACAUAAAACAAAGAAUAUCAAGGCAUUUUAUAUAAAUAACAUAUGCAAAACACUAGUUAAAUGCGGGUGAAACUAUCGAAUAAUAUGGUUACAUCAAAAUAGAUAUUAUGGAGAUGUAAAUUUUCUAUUAAAAUGGAGGUAGCUAGCUAGUUUUAUUACUUCUAUUCGAACCUAACCAACUGUCUGAGAAUAGUUUUCUAAAGCUGCAAGAUGUGUUCAACAUUUCCAGUUUCUACAAUGGAAUGAGUAGGCAUGUGUAAUUUCCUCGGUUAUUGGAAGACGUCAUUUCCAGUUUUUAUCUUUAAACACCAACCAAACACAACCUUAUAGAAUGGAAAGUAACAUGCAUACACAUUUUCAGUUGAAAAUCUACUCAUGCUCACUGUCUGAAAUAGUGUCUUGCAUUGCAAGUUAAUUCUGUUGGAAGUUAAGUUGAUUGCUUGUUGUUAAAGCUUCAGAAGUAAAUCAUGUGGUUAUAACGAGAAGAAUGAAGAAUGGAUGAAAGAAGAAGAUUCUGUUGCAAAGCAGUUACAGUAGUUAAAAAAUAGUUAAAUUAGUUAUAGCUGUUAUAACUUUUUUUUUUUGUUACAAACUGUUUCUUACAUGUGUAAGAAUCGUAGCCCUCAACUAAUGGAUGGUUGAGAUGAAUUGAUUCCAAAAAUCUAGAAUUAUGUUAUUAAUUACAUGUAAUGUGUAUAUAAGUAGAGUUCUGCACUAAUGGAAUAGUAAGAAAAAAGAAAUACAGAAUUCUCUUCUCAUCUUCUCUGCUAAAACUCUUCUACAAACUUUUCUUUUAGUCAUCUGAAAAUCUACAUGGUAUCAGAGCUCACAAACUGAUUCCUAAGAGGGGCGUAAACUGUGAAAAACAGAUUGACUAAAAUUGUUAAUUACUCAAAAUGAUAGGAUCAAGCUCUACUGGAGGAGAUUUAAGAACUCCACAGUUCAAUGGCACAAAUUAUGGUUUUUGGGCUGUAAAGAUGGAGACAAUCCUCAUAGCAUUCGAUCUAUGGGACGUAAUAGAAGUUGGAGUGCAAUCUCAUCAAUCACUUGAGGUUCCAAGUGAAUCAGGCGAUGAAGAGAGUGAAGCUGGGCAAACCACAUUGCAAACAUUUACUACAUCCAGAGAAGAAAAAAUCAAGAAUCCAAAAGCAUUAAGCCUUAUACAAGGAGCAUUAACAGACGAUCUUUUCCCACGUAUAAGAAAUGAGAAGACUACAAAAGGAGCUUGGGACAUCUUGAGCAGAGAAUUCAGAGGAGAUAAAAAGGUUAGAGCUGUAAAACUUCAAGUAGUGAGAGCUGACUUUGAAUACCUGAGAAUGGCAGAAAGUGAAAGCUUAGAUGGCUAUCUAUCUAAAUUCUUUGCAACCAUGAAUAACCUGAAAUCAUUAGGAGAAGAUGUAUCAGAAAACAAAAUUGUGCAGAAACUGCUAAUAAGUCUAAGCAGAAGAUAUAAGUCCAUUGUGUCAAUCAUUGAGGAGACACGAGAUCUUGAUGUUCUGAGAGUAGAAGUCAUUGCUUCUGUUAAAGUUUAUGAUAAAAAGGAGGAUCUACAUGAUGAAAGGGAUAAGCUAACAGGAACAUAAAAAGCAUUUAGCAGUUUAAAGAUUGGAAACAAUUCAUCUUAUAGCUCACACAAGGGUUUCCAAGGCAGACCUCCUCAAGAGAUGGCAAUCACAAGACAGGAGGAGACCAAAUCCAUUUCCAAACAGAAACUUAACCAACUACAACAAUUUAAGCUGGAACAACACUGUUUAAGGAAGUAGUCAAGCGAGUGUAAAACCACACUGCCAAGUCUUCCAGAAGCAACAUUUUGGAUUAUGUAGACACAAAGGAAAACCAAGAUGUGGAAAAUGCAACCGGGUUAGUCAUAUUGCAAAAGAUUGUGAGAGUCACAGUCACAAGCAGCUAGCAAAUUAUGCCAAAGAAGAGAGAGUUACCAUAGGAACCAUGUUUUAUGCUUGCCAUUCUGCAAGUUUGCAAGAUAGUGCUUGCAGCAACCACAUGACCUCUCAAGAAUCCGAACUAAUCAACAUUGAUAGAAUAAUAACCUGUAAAGUAAAGAUGGGCUCAGGAGACCUUGUGCAAGCAACUAGAAAAGGCACAUUGGUUGUGGAAACUCAACAUGGGAAAAGAUACAUAAAAGAGGUACUACUUGUUCCUGGAUUGGAUGAAAACCUAUUGAGUGUAGGGCAGAUGAUGGAGCAUGGUUAUUACAUUUUGUUUGGAGGUAACAAAGCAGUAAUAUUUGAUGAUGAAAGCCUUAACAAUGUUAUAGCCAUAAUGAUCAUGGGAGGAAAUUGAUGUUUCCCACUUUCACUUGAGUCCAUAACACCCACAACAAGGAAAGCUUCAGUGAUUGGGGAUUCCUGGAUAUGGCAUAGAGGACUGGGACACUUGAAUUUUACCAGCAUGAAGAAGAUGUAGCAGAAAGAGAUGGUAUGUGGGCUUCCUGUUCUGACUGAAGUAGAAGAUGUUUGUGUAGGCUGUGCAUCAAGCAAACAUCACAAGGAGAAAUUCGACAAAGAGCAAGUGUGGAGAGCAAGCUAUCCACUGGAAUUAAUCCACACUGAUCUGUGUGGACCAAUAUAGAAUGAAUCUGUGGGAGGGAACAAAUACUUCAUCACAUUCAUUGAUGAUUACUCAAGAAUGUGUUGGGUAUACUUCCUCAAAAACAAAUCUGAUGCAUUCAAUGUGUUUAAGAAAUUCAAAGCAUUCGUUGAGCUGCAAAGUGGAUAUAAACUAAAGAAGCUGAGAAGUGACAGAGGUGGUGAAUAUACUUCAAAUGAGUUUGAAGAAUUCUGUGUAAAACAAGGAAUGGAGAGGCAGCUGAUAAUUGCAUACUCUCCUCAACAGAAUGGAGUUGCAGAGAGGAGAAACAUAACAAUUUGUGAAAUGGCAAGGUCCAUGCUGAUAGAAAAAGAAAUGCCAGUAAUCUUCUGGGAAGAAGCUGUGAAUACAGUUGUGCAUAUUCAAAACAGAUGUUAUACAACAUCAGUUAUCAAAAAGACUCCAUUUGAAGCCUUCACGGGUAGAAAGCCAGGAGUCAAGCAUUUAAAUGUCUUCGGUUGCUUGUGCUACACUCAUAUCCCAUCAUCACUAAGGCAGAAAUGGGAUAGCAAAGCUGGAAAGGGAGUGUUUGUUGGAUAUGGUAGCUGUGAGAAAGGGUAUAGAAUAUAUGACCUGAAAACUGAGAAGAUUGUUCUCUCAAGAAGUGUGAUUUUCAGUGAAGAUAGAGCAUGGAAUUGGGAAAGAAAUCUGAUGAACCAAAGCCACUUGUCCUUCAAUCUUGAAGGAGGUGAAGUUGAAGGUGAAAAUUCUAAGGAACACUCUGCUGCAGUCCAACCCGAUAAUGUUGAACAUUGCAAUCAAAAUUCUACAGUUGGAGAGUUAGCUGAGAAGAUUGACAGUGAUAACAGUCAACAAUCUUCACCUAGCUCUACUCCAGUAAAAUUGAAAACCUUGGAAGACAUAUAUGCAAGGUGUCACAUGUGCAUCAUAGAACCUGAGAACUAUCAAGAAGCUUUUGGAGAUAAAGCCUGGCAGGAGGCUAUGAAGGAAGAAUUGGAAGUGAUAGAGAAGAACAAUACUUGGGAAUUGGUGGAGAGACCAAUUGAUAAACCUGUGAUAGGAGUGAAAUGGGUGUACAAAACUAAGCUUCAUCUUGAUGGAACAGUUCAAAAACACAAGGCUCGCCUUGUAGCAAAAGGAUAUGCACAGAAAUCCAGAAUUGACUACAAUGAAACAUUUGCACCAGUAGCAAGGCUAGACAUAAUCGGACUCUCAUUGCACUUGCAGCACAAAAGGGGUGGAAAUUGUUUCAAUUGAAUGUUAAGUCAGCAUUCCUAAAUGGUGUUCUUAAAGAAGAAGUAUAUGUUGAGUAGCCUGAAGGGUUUGAAGUAAAGAAUGCAGGACACAAAGUUUACAAACUAAGGAAGGCCUUAUAUGGACUAAAACAGGCACCGAGGGCCUGGUACAGUGAAAUUGAUGCAUAUCUUUCUAUGUGCAAAUUCAAAAGGAGCACAAGUGAGGCUACUUUGUAUACAAGGUCUGAUCGAGAAGGUAACUUAAUCAUUGUUUCAAUCUAUGUUGAUGACAUUGUAUAUACUGGCAGCAGUGAAAGGAUGCUUAGUGAAUUCAAAAAAGAAAUGAUGCAGAGAUAUGAGAUGUCUGAUCUUGGACUUCUUCAUCAUUUUCUGGGCAUGGGAAUACUGCAAACUGAUUAAAGAGUAUUCAUCCAUCAAAGCAAGUAUGCAAAGUCCUUGCUUAGGAAGUUUGGGCUUGAGGACUGCAAACCAGUCUCUAUUCCUUUGGUCACUGGUGAGAAACUGAAGAAGGUGGAUGGGAGUGAGUUGGCUGAUGAAGGACUUUAUAGAAAAAUAGUAGGAAGUUUACUAUAUUUGACAGCAACAAGACCUUAUCUGAUGUAUGCUGUAAGCUUAUUGUCAUAGUUCAUGACUGGACCUACCAAAAUUCACAUGGGAGCUGUAAAGAGAGUCCUAAGAUAUGUGCAAGGAACUCUCAGCUAUGGGAUUGAAUACGUAAGGGAUCAAGCAGCAACUCUUAUUGGAUUUUGUGAUGCAGAUUGGGCAGGAAGUGAAGAUGACAGUAGGAGCACCUCUGGUUAUGCAUUCAGUUUUGGAAGUGGAGCAUUCUCUUGGGCUUUUGUGAAACAGAACACAGUGGCAUUAUCAACUACAGAAGCUGAGUAUGUUUCAGCAUCUGAAGCAACAACUCAGGCAAUAUGAUUAAGAUUUGUUCUUGAUGAUUUUGGUGAAAUGCAAGCCGAAGCCACAACUUUGUUCUGUGAUAACAUGUCAGCAAUUUCAAUGGCUAAAAAUCCUGUCUUUCAUCAAAGAAUUAGACAUAUAAACAAGAAGUAUCAUUUCAUAAGAGAGGCUCUGCAAGAGGGAGUAAUAAAUAUAAAAGUUUGCAGAAGUGAAGAACAACUUGCAGAUAUCUUCACAAAAGCAUUGCCUAAAGAUAGAUUUAAGCAAUUAAGAUUGAAUGUUGGAGUUAAACUAGUAAGCAGCUUAAGAGAGGCCGUUGGAAGUUAAGCUGAUUACUUGUUGUUAAAGCUUCAAAAGUAAAUCAUGUGGUUAUAACGAGAAGAAUGAAUGAAAGAAGAAGAUUUUGUUGCAAAGUAGUUAUAGCAGUUAAAAAAUAGUUAAAGUAGUUAUAGCUAUUUUUUCUGUUACAAACCAUUUUUUACAUGUGUAAGAAUCGUAGCCCUUAACUAAUGGAUGGUUGAGAUGAAUUGAUUCCAAAAAUCUAGAAUUAUGUUAUUAAUUACAUGUAAUGUGUAAAUAAGUAGAAUUCUGUACUAAUGGAAUAGGAAGAAAAAAGAAAUACAUAAUUAUCUUCUCAUCUUCUCUGCUAAAACUCUUCUACAAACUUUUUUUUAGUCAUCUGAAAAUCUACAAAUUCAGACUUCGAUAAGAACAUCUAGGAAUCAAAAGCUUUCACACAUUCCACUCAAAAGAGUCCUUAAAACACAGUACUCGCAAUUUCUUCUAGUUCGAAAGAAAAUACCAUUGCUAAGAACUCUUGUCAAUGGAUCUCUUGUCGACUAAUAAUUUGGAAAUCACCACGCAUAAUAAGAAAAUGAAAGGUAGAAGACACAUCUUAAUUGGAUUAUCUUUCUCCUGACGAGUAUACGUAUACUCCACAGUCGAAUAAACACAUUGCCAAACAGCACCAGCCAAUCCAAAAUACUCAACAAUAGUGCCAACAGGCUUUCUAGUUGCGGAAGUAGAAGUUGAUCGGGGCUGAAAACAUGGCAAUAGGUUCAUGUCCGCCAGUUUAAUUCUUUCCUUUCGAGCCAUGUGAAUGAGUUCAACGGCAGCAAGAAGCAAAGCUACAAAUGCCAAGACCAUGCCAAUUAAUGCAUAACCCAUUUGGUCAAAAACCGCAGAUGCAAUCUCUAGGAUUAAGUUUGUCACCAGCAAAGUCCAUCCUGAUAUUUCCUGUACAAGAAAGUGGUUAGUUGUAAACAAGGCAGUUAAGAAAAUCUCACCAAUUAUCAAAAGCGUUGUUUCCAUAGUUCUUACUCUAGGACGUGAGCUUUCUCCAGCAUCCAGCAGCUGUUCUACCUCUACAGUAAUGUUCACAUGCUGCACAAUCCACAAUGACAUAAUGUAAGAUAAUUGAUAAUACACAAAACAAUACAAUUAUGACUGGCAGAAACUCAUAAUGUGAGAUUAUCUCAUCUACUACUAUAUAUCACCUGGUUCACAUCAUUAACAUUCAUCGAGUCGUCUUGGCUAGGGACAGAUGGAGCAAGAUUUUCAACACGAUUAUCUGCAAAGUUGGCCAAAUAUCCAUAUAUAGGUUGUGAUAUCAACCUUCGAAGAAUUAUUUCAAAAAGAAGAGAGACAAAAAAGAAUUCCAUGUGUUUAGAUAUAUAAUUUGCUUUCAUGCAUGAUUUAUUUUAAAUAUUAAAAAAUAAUAUAAAUUAAAGAAUAAUACUUAAUUUUUUUUUAUUAAAUUAAUUCUUUAAUAUAAUAUUAAAGUCUUAAUAGCAACAUACCAAUUGCUUGUAACUCUGGAAGAGGCUGCUGCGUCUUCCGCGAAGCUAAGGAAGGUAACUGCAUUAUCAAAACACAUUAAAUAUUUUUCAUGGAAGUCGUGGUGGGAAUUGGAAAAUUCUUAAAAUCAAGAGUUUCAAAAGAAAUAAAGUAUAGACCUUCUCCAUUAAAUUUUUAUUUGCAAUUGAUUGUUGAAAAGCCUGGUCAUUCCACGAACGUAACUCAGAAAACUGCAUGCAUCAUCAAAACAUCAAAUAUUUUUCAUGGAAGUCGUGGCGAAAAUUAGAAAAUUCUGAAAAUCAAAAGUUUUUCAAAAGAAUAAGAGCAUAGACCUUCUCCCUUAGAAAUUCUAGAACACUAAUCUGAGUUUGAAUCAGGCGUGCAUUUCUUGUAAGAGCCUGUAUCUGAGACAUUAGGGAUUUUAUUUACUUACCUGGUCUAACUGGGUCAACAAAGUGCGAUUUCUAUCGGGUUUUCUUCAAAUCUACAAAAAAAAAAAAAAGUUAGACACGAAUUGAAGGUACUUUUUCCAGCUGGCGCAAAUCAUUAUCGCUAAAUGACAACCAGCAGCCUGUUAGGCACCAACGAAUAAUAGGAAAGUUGAAGAGUUUCUUCAGUAUGCUAGGAUCUAAGAUUGAUGCCAAUACCACAAACCAGAAAUGCAUAUUAGGUAUCAUGUGACUCAAAGUAAUUGUUAAUAUUACAAUUAAAAAAUAAACUAUUAUGUUAUUAAAAACUAUGGUAAAAUUGAAUUUUAAUUUAAAUAUUAUUUUAUUUUAGGGAAUGUGAUUUCAACUGAUUUUCCAAACAGUCUUUUCUUGGAAUACCGCCGUAGGCUUUUUACAUUAUUUUUAAAAUGAUAAUUUUUUGAUUGUUUUUGAUAUUUUAAUCAGAUGAUAUUAAAAAUAAAAACAUAUUAAUUUAAUGUAUUUUUAAUUAAAAAAUAUUUUAAAAAAUAAAUAAUCAUAUUGUGAUUUUUUUAGUUAAAAAGAAGGUAUAGAAAUCAACGGUGAAGCAAAAACAUGAAUCAGAAACCACAUAUUUGAAAAUUAUUAGUAAACUAGAAACUAAUACGAUCACCUCGUCAGAUAAUGAUGUUGAUGGUGGAUGGAGGGAAUGGAGGGAUUGCUCAGGUUCACGUCGAUUACGUAGUCCAAGCGUCAGAACAGCUUCAUCUUUCUCUGGUUCCGUUGCCUCCCAUUUCACUUCUUCCUCUUCUAUUUUCAUGACCACCACUCUUUGUGCUUCCUCCGCGUAUCAGUACGUACUGAUGUCAGUGCCAAAACUAAUCACAACCGCAAGGAUAGGAUUAAGCAAAAUUAAUCACAUACAAAAUAGUAGGAUUUACCCUUCCCUUCUGUUUGCUCUCUGUAAUUGAAAAUCUGUUACCUGGUUUGAUAUCUAGCAGAUUCCUUGGGAAAACAAAUGAAAAGAGGUGUUACUCGUUUCUCCUUUUGAAGUCGAUGAAGAUCUAAAUCAUUAAUUGCUAGUUAGUAACCUAGCCAGAAGUCACAUGGAAACUUCUUAAGGGCUUCAUCUCCGCGUUAAUUCACUGUUUCUUGCAAGAUUGCCUUUGUAUCAUUGUCAUAAAGUGAGAGAGAAAAAAGUAGAAUUUGAUUCAAACAGUGUUAUAAUAAAGACAACGAAUAGAGAACAAAUACUUAAUAAAAGGGAGGGGAAUUUUUUGAAUACCCAACUUCCUCUCCGUUUCCUUCCCUUCGCUACAUGUCGGUUCGCAAUGAUAACAGGGGCAGUAGGAUCCUCCCAUCAUCCUUUCCUUUCAAACCAUGUGAAUGCGUUCAAACUUGGGUUGACCCACAACCCAAGCUUUGGGUGAGGACUAUUUCAAGAACGAAUUUUAUCGUUGAUAAAGUCGCCCUCUCUUCGUACUUGUACUUUUUACAGAAUGAUCAAGUUCGCUGGGUAAUGAUCAAGUUUUUUGUUGUGUAGAGUUUCCCUUCUAUUUGGAAGAUGGUCAUGUGAGGAUGGUCUAUUUAUUUAUGUUAGAUUAAAUCCAAAUCCAUCAAGUUUCGAUUAAACACUUCCAUCAUAGUCGUCGUCGUCAUGGUUCGAUUGAGUUGAAAUCUUGCAGCCACACUAACAACACGAGGCUCUAUAAUCUGAUCACUGUAGAUCGAAUGGUACUUUUGUUGGUGAGCAGUAGCAACUAUUUUGUGGUGGGAUGUUUAUAGAAUCUCUUAUAAUUUUGUUUUGUUGCCAGAAAAUUAUUACAUCUCUAAUCCUAUUUAAACAGAACAGUUGCAGCCCAUUGUUCACAGUGGGAAUUUUGGAGGUUUCGUAAGAACCUUGUCUCUGUUUGUGAUUGAUUUGGGUUUCCCAAAUCAAUCUACCAUUUCUCUCAACACCGUAUGCUUUGGUAUAUAGCCAGCUUUAUUAUUUUAUUCUAGUCAUGGUUAUAAAACUUAAAUUCCUAGCGGGUUGAUUGAGGAUGUGAUUGAUCUCAGAUUUAGAUUAAUUUGAGUAAAAAAAAAUAAAAAAAUAAAAGGUACCCUAGUUUUUCAAAACUCAACCCUCAAUUUAUUUAAUUUUUUAUUUAAAAAAAAAUUAAAAAUAUACUCGAGUUCAUCCUCCUGACUUGUAACUUAAAUCUUAUUCAAAUCAAUUUUGAAAUUGAAUUUUAAAAUUGUAAUAAUGGUGAAAACCGAUUGAAUUUUAUACUGUUGGAUUUCAAAGCUGUUCUAGUGAUGCAACCGAAUGAAUUUUAUACUAUUUUAGGUUUGGAGCAAAUUAUCUUUCACUAAUCUUUUAUAUUAUUAGAGAGAAUUAAGUAACUGAGGUGAAAAUGACACAUAUAUGCAGACUGCAAUUCCUAGUUUAGUAUCAUCGGUGGAAUCAAUGAUUCGUUUUUUUCUUUUGGCUCUCAUUGCUUUGGAACAACCAAUCAAAGCCGUUCGGCAUUGUUUUUUCCGGUCUCCAAGAUGUUCUUUUUUCAGAUCACACUUUGUCUUUCACAUUGACUUUUACCUAUCAAAUUUCCUUUCUAGUUUUGGCAAGUAUGGCUAGAUCCCGAUGGAUUUAGUGAACUUUCUCAGCACCUCGCUGUGCUGGUUCGGUUGAGCCAAAGCUAAGAUGGUCUCAAGUCUCAACUUACAUAGGGUGCAUCACAUCAAUGGACAGUCAAACUGCCAAGAAGCAGCUCCAAACAGGAACUUUCAGCCUUGUAGAUGUACCGAAUCCUGAUGUUGAGAUGCUCCAAAGGAAGCACUACAUGGAACUAGUCCAACUGACAUGCAUCAUGGCCUCCAUAAUUGGAAGAGCACGUCAACAUGACCUAUCAUUUCAUUAGUUCAUUCACGGGGGAGGGUUUUAUUUUCUAUACUGUAAAACUUCCUGCAUAAUCACUUCAGGACAUAAAUAGAAUCGAAGGGUGUAGGGAGGCAUCAAGGUGAUCAAGAUUCUUGUUGCAUAGUCUUAAACAAAGUUUUGGAUAGGUUGGUAUUGGACAAAAUCUAGCAUCUUCGUAACACCCAAUAUUCUCUAAACACCACAUUAGGGACUCAUGUCUUUACUGAAAAAUAAAAAUAAAAACUACAAGUUGUCAUGAUUUUGUAAAGCAAACUGAUGUCCUUGAUAAGAGCAAGCCAUUUGAAUAAUCUCCCAUUUUUUGCUUGCAAAAUCUAGUAAGCUGAAACUAGUUGGCAAUUUGCAUGAUGCUAUCAUCAAUUUCCUUUUGAUAAAGUGAUUGAAAAGGAGAGGAAUUAAGUUAGAGAGACAGCUCGUUAAUUGACUUAACAUUGCUAGAGUAUAAAUGUUUGAGCUGUUCGAUAUUGCAAUAUCAUGAUCAAGUUAUUAGGUAACGUUUUCUGAUGUUUUGAAGGAAGUUCAAGAUCCUUUCAAGCCAUUUUAUCAUUCUUCUAGAGAGCUUUUUCGUACCCGAGAAGAAUCGUUAAACGUUUCCGGAUGUGUUCUACAUUUUCACUUUCGUCUAAGCCUUGCAAUGGGGCAGAUAAUGGCAAGUUCUUGCGCUCAAAAUCCUUGGUUACAAGAGCAAGAGCUGAAGUGCUCGCAGCUCGUAACCAUUUCAAGUCAACAGUUGCAAGAAUUUCAAAAAGCGAGUCCUGAAGUUGGAGAGCAAGAGACAAGUAGAGUUUGUGAAGAAAGGUGUCAUUGACUAUAUUGUCCCUCGAAAAUCUGCAGAAGGACAUGUGAUCGAAAGUGCUUGGCAAAACAUAGAUAUUGCCAGAAAAGCUGAUUCAAGAAUGGUGAUGAACAAUUAAUCAUAUUGUUUUGGAAUUCUGCAUUUUGUUUUGGGAUCACAUCUCAUCCUUCAACGAAACAUGCCUUGCUUUUGUCUCUUUGUUGUUUUGAAAUCAACAGAUGUUUAACAUUUUAUUCUGACAAAAUAUUUUGAUCAAACUCCAACAUACGAUAAAGGUUAAUCAAUCCUGAAGAUUAAAAGUGUUUUGAUUAUAGAAAUGACUCAAUGCUUAUUGAAAUGACAUGAGGUGACCAAAACAAACUUUGAGCCCUUGCAUGAAAUUGAACCACACAUCAUAUAGCUAAGUUUUAGCAGUAUGCAUAAUGACAUGUAGUGGAUUCUGUAGUUAUGGACUCGUGAAUCAUGAUUCUUACAAGUCCCAAUCAUUACACUGGAUGGGGUCAAAAUUUAUCGGUUCUAACCGACCUUGCUUGAAAUGAGAAAAGGCCAUCUUUGAUAUCCCUUCACUUUCUAAAGAUUAUAUCCCUUGUAAUCCCAUUUUGAGCUGGAUAGAAUAUUCUUUUCGUAAAAACCCUGACUUGGAUCACACCCCACACUGGGGGCAAAUGAGAGAUAUUUUGAAGAUAUUGAUAUAAUUAAUGGAUAAAGAGGAAGGCUUAGAACAAAACUCCAAUGAUUGAGAGAGAGCUAAAAGAAAACACGUGGACUAUAGCAUAUAAGGAAAUUUUGAGGAAGGCUAUGAGAAAGCGAAGCGAAGCAAAAAAGAAAAAAAAAAGAGAAUGCCUAUCAAGUCUAGGAAGAGCAAAAGAAAUUUCAAUCUAUACCAGAAAAAAAGACUUAGCUAUAAAUGUGACUUUUGGUAUCCAUUAUAAAGCCUAUGAUGUCAUCAGAUGAUUAAGGUUGGUUAUUCAUCAAGGAAAGGGGGAUUUGCAUUAUGACCUAUGUUAAGAAGAAUUGUGAUAUUUGAGAUUAACAAGGUUAUAUGUCACUUUCUCUACAAUGACGACAAGAGAAAGAGAAUCGAUAAAUAGUUAAUGUUGAUCCUAAGUCGUUGAAACCGUCAAACACCUUUUGAGCCUUUGAAAUUCUUUUCUUUCAUAGCCAUGAACCAUAGCCUGCAUUACGUGCCUUUAAAAGUCCUUUUUAAUCAAGCAAGCAAUUUGAAUUGAUAAAUGGCGCUCUCGAAACUUGAAGAGCUUUUCCAUAAGGGUCGUUACUUCAUGAAUUAAGCUACUAGUUAUUAUGCAUGUUGAUAAAAUAAAUGCUAAGAAAAGAAACAACCUUUCUUGAUAAAGCCUGAGUAUCUUGUUUUUGAAAUCCAUAAAAAUGUCACCUCAUCACAGACCAUCAAAAGAUAUACCCAAAAUCAGAGUUUAAAGCGGACACAAAGAACCAUGGAAAAGACCAUUUUAAUCUUACAAAGAGUCGAUUGCUUUUUUCAAAAUACAAGACAAUCGAAGGAUUACAUUGGAUGAAGUGUGUUGAUCAAAGAAGCUUGAAUUUCAAAAAUACUUUUCAAAAACUGAUAUCUCUCUGAUUUCAUUUCAACAAUUAGACUUGAAUAGACAUGACCUUUGAAGUAUGAGAUUUGAUUCUAGAACAAGAAAGAUUGUCAAACAAAGAAGAACAUUCAUUGAGUUUGCGGAAUCCUUGACCUGAAAUGACAUCAACUCUUCUCAAAACUCAUUGAAAGGUUGAACACCUGGGGGCAAUACAGUGGACCCUAAGAAGGAAAACAGACAGUAUCUAGAUCAGCUGGGGGCAAAGAAAGAAUCAGAUGAUGAGUCAUCAAAGUCCCAGAAAGUUUUAACAUCUGACAAUGAUAAAGAAAAACCUUCUUGAGUAUAAACCGAUGAACAAACCUUCAGAUCAUAUUGGGGGCAAUGUUGUUCAAAGACAAUCCACGAUCUAAUGCACUUCAGCAGCAAUUGAUGAGCAACGCUGCACUAGAAGGAUAUUUUCAUAUCUUCAUCUUGGUUUAUCAUCUUCAACAUGGUUAUGACUUUUGAUCGAUGUUAUCACAUAGUUGCAUGUGCAUGAAUGUUGGAGGAUGCACCCACCAAGACUGACUGUGGGACCAUUUGUUUUGAAGCUCAAAUGCACACUUCACCGCAUGAAUAUGGGUGAUAACAUAAAACAUCAUUGAUGAUGCCAAUACAUUUCUUUUCAAGAUCUGAUUAGAUGGGUGAGAAGAACUUUUUGAGGAAAACAUUGAGCAUACAACGAUGAGGCUUUCACUACAAGUUGUGAGAUCCAUGUUUGGAUGACUUGGUAGUUUCUGAGAAGGUUGAUGAUAACAUAUACUUGAAAAGUAUUGUUUCGAAUGGAGGCAUUUUCAGACUGAUUAACAAUCUUGAUGGGUGUUGGCAUGAUACACACAACCAAUCAGAAGAUAAUUCCCAGAAGAAUCUAAGAGAGAACAUCCUUCAUAAUAAAUCAAGCAACACCACACUUGGGGGCAUUGUCAAGCUUGAUGAACCAACGAGCAGUAAUCGUCGAAGACAUCCUAAGAUAUGCAUUGUAUAUACAGCUGAAUAAUGGCCAGCACAUGAAUGAGCCAAUGCAUCGAAAGAACAAAGAAAGCUUUGGAAUGCAAACAAGGGCACCCUACUGUUGUAACCCAUUUUUGGGUCCCCACAUAAAAAAAAAUAUAUUAUCAAAAAAUAUAACAGUGAAAAAAUGCCAGAGCGCCCUAAAAAUGUUCAAAAAUUGAUUGAGGAUGUUCAAAAAUAUAAAAAUUAAAUUUUGACAGUAUAUCAUUGACUGAUGAGAGCCCCGAUGAUAAAGAAAAUUCAAUUUGAGGAAGAAAAAUGCAAAAUUAGAAGUUUAUGGACUCAAUUAAAUUUUAUUGAAGGUUUAAUUGAAUUUAUAGAGGUUUUAAUUGCAAAAACAAUUGAUUUUGGAGUUAUUUUGGGCUUUAAUUGAAAGAAAUUAAUUUUCUGGGGUCAAAUUAUAAUUUUUGGAAGUUAAUUUGGUCAAAUCAGGGGCUUAAUUGCAUAAAUAUUGAAGUUUAAUGGCCAAUUAGGGACUAAAUUGAAGAAAUCCGAGACCAAGGACGAAAUUGUAAAACGCGCGUAAAUUGAGGGCCUUCUUUGAAAUCUGACGCGUUUUGGCGCCUUUUCUUUUAAAUGAAACGGCGCGUUUUGACCAAAACGGCGCCGUUUCAUUCACUGUUGCAAAAAAAAAUAAAAUUCAGAAGCCCAAAACGGUGCCGUUUUGAUGGCACUGUAGGUCUUCUUCUUCCCCUGGACGCGCGAGGCAGGGGAAGAAGAAGAUUUUUCUUCUCCCUUUUCGCCUAACUUCUUUCCCCGUUUUUGCGCAAUAAGACGCCCACCAUUCGGCGCCCACUUGCCUCCUUUUUCUCCACUGAUCGAUAGUGGAGGGGGCGGCCAACAGUGGCCACCCCACCGUGACGUCCUUCCCCUGUUUUUGCCUAUAAAAACAGGGGAAGCAGACCGAAGAAAGGAGAGGAGAAGAGAGGGAGAGAAGGGGAGGAUUUUAACGACAGAAAGAGAAAGAGAGAGGCGAGAGAAACAAAACGAAAAAACAGAAAAAAGAAGAAGAAAGAGACGCGACAGAGGAGAGAACAAGAAAAAAAAACAAAGAGAAAGAGAGAAGGAGGACCGCCGCUAGAACCACCGUGACAGCAGCACCGCCUCCGCCAGAACCGCCUCGACGCCACCCCGGGUACCCUCCUGCUCCCCGAUCAUUUUCUUCUCCUGCUGCCCCGCCUUGCACUUGCAUGCAGAACGUGAAUAAUUCACGUUCUGCUGCAAAAUGCAGCGUGGGCUGGGCCGUUCAGCCCAGCCCAUGUAAAUGGGCUUGGCCGGCCCAGCCCAUGCAUUUGGGCCGGGUCCGGCCCAUAUAAUUUUUAUUUUUAUUAUUUUUUUGUUUAUUUUUUUGUUUUUUAUUUUCAUUUUUUGUUAUAUAUUUAUUUUCCAGCACAUUUCUUUUAUCAAUGUUUAUUUAAUAUCAGUCUGUUUUUUAUAUCACAAUAACAUAACUCCGGUAUUCAAAUACCCGGUUUUCGUCCAACAGUAUUGUUCACACGACACUAUUUACGGAACUGUUCACACAUGCAUAAAAAAAACAAAAAUAUUUGUUUCAGCAUUUUAUCGUAAACGAACCAACAAUUCAAAAACCACAACACGAUUUUAGAUUUUAUUAGACAUUAAAACAAUGCAGCCUACCUUAGGUAGGGCGUAGUUGGGGUGCUAAUACCUUCCCUUUACGCAACCAGUCUCCGUACCCGAUCUCUAAAGACCAGUUAAGGUUCCUAGUAACCAAAAAACUAGGUGGCGACUCCCAUUUCAAUUUUUCACUUGUAGAGACAAGAAUUUCCUUGUCUCUCUCCCUAUUUUCAAGGAAUAAAUAUUCCGAUUUUUUCCUUGAGGGUGGACGAUCACCGCGCCGCCGCACACGGGCAACACCUACGACGACGGAGCAUCAAAGAGGGGGGGCCUAUAUUUCAAAUCAGGUAAGAAUGCAUGCAUAUCAUAAAAAAAAAACAAAAAAAACAAAAAAAACAAAAAAAAAACAUUUGCACAUAUUUUUGAAUUGUUACAGGAAAGUCCUUAAUGAAGUCCAGCAAGAUGGUGGAAAAAGAAAGAAGCAUUGUGGUGAUGAUAAUAAUGAAUCGGUUUUAAUCAUGGAAUAAAAGGACGAUGGGAUGAACCCUACCAUUAGGAAAAUCCCAAAGAAAUGAAUACAUCAACCUUGCAAUCGGGAAGCCUCGAGUUUUCAACCCUUGCAAUCAGGAAAUACCAAUUUUCAAGCCCUAUGAUCGAGAAUUAUCAGGAAGCACCAAGUUUUUCAGCCCUUCUUCUGUCAUCCCCUCAGGACUUGGCCAGGUAAGUCCUAUUUUUCACUUGUCAUAUCACAUUCUUUCUAUUUGGGUAGGUCGCCCAUCACAACGAGACUGUUUUUUCAUAUUUUUUCCAUCCGGGUAGGUCACCCAUGACAAUGAGACCGCACUUCAUCAUAUUUUUUCCAUCUGGGUAGGUCACCCAUUACAAUGAGACCACACUUCAUAUUUUUUCCAUUUUUGGGUAGGUCACCCAUCAUAAUGAGACCGCACUUCAUAUUCUUUCCACCUAGGUAGGUCACCCAUUACAAUGAGACUGUUUUUUUUCACAUUCUUUUGUUUUGGUUAAAUGAGGUCGCCAAAUGGGAUCUCAUGUAGCUUUGGUUAAAGGGAAUCGCCAAAUGGGAUUUCAGGUUGACCGAGCUACACACAGUUUUAGUUCCAGUUUGAAUGAGGUCGCCAGAUGGGAUCUCAUGUAGCUUUGGUUAAAGGGAAUCGCCAGAUGGGAUUUCAGGUUAACCGAGUUACACAUAUUUUCGUUCCAGUUUAAUGAGGUCGCCAGAUGGGAUCUCAUGUAGCUUUGGUUAAAGGGAAUCGCCAGAUGGGAUUUCAGGUUAACCGAGUUACACACAGUUUAGUUCCAGUUGAAUGAGGUCGCCAGAUGAGAUCUCAGGUAGCUUUGGUUAAAGGGAAUCGCCAGAUGGGAUUUCAGGUUAACCGAGUUACACAUAUUUUCGUUCCAGUUGAAUGAGGUCGCCAGAUGGGAUCUCAGGUAGCUUUGGUUAAAGGGAAUCGCUAGAUGGGAUUUCAGGUUAACCGAGUUACACACAGUUUAGUUCCAGUUUAAUGAGGUCGCUAGAUGGGAUCUCAUGUAGCUUUGGUUAAAGGGAAUCGCCAGAUGGGAUUUCAGGUUAACCGAGUUAAACAUAUUUUCGUUCUAGUUGAAUGAGGUCGCCAGAUGGGAUCUCAUGUAGCUUUGGUUAAAGGGAAUCGCUAGAUGGGAUUUCAGGUUAACCGAGUUACACAUAUUUUCGUUCCAGUUGAAUGAGGUCGCCAGAUGGGAUCUCAUGUAGUUUUGGUUAAAGGGAAUCGCCAGAUGGGAUUUCAGGUUAACCAAGUUACGCAUAUUUCGCUCCAAUUGAUGAGGUCGCCAGAUGGGAUCUCAGGUAAACCCAAUUAAAAGGGCAGGUCGCCCGUGAAAAUAGACCAGUGUGAGUGUGGGUCGGUCGCCCGUGAAAAUAGACUAGGGUGAGUAUGUGUGGGCAGGUCGCCCGUGAAAAUAGAUCAAUGUGAGUGUGUGGGCAGGUCGCCCAAGAUAAUGAAAUCAUUUUCCUUUUGUUUUCUUUACAAAGCUUACUAUGCAAAAUUUUGAGGAGUUUUGCUUCGUAAGCAUUGUAAAGAGGGGGCAUCUGUUGCUACCCAAUUUUUGACCCAUGUUUUGAUAUAUUUUCAAAAAAUCCAAAAAGUUGAGAAAAACAAAGAAAAUCCAAAAAAUAUGUUUUUUUAAUAUAUUUUCGUCAUUUUAGCAUUUUCAACGUCGUCUAAAAAAGAAUUUAAAUUGUUAAAAUAUUUUCAAACGCGUUCGACUUUUCACGCGUCAUUUUUAAAUCAUUGAUUUUCCGCAUUUGAGUCGACGUUGAUAUUGCUCGUUUUCGAAAAAUACAAAAAAAUAAGAAAAAUCAAAAUUUACAAAAAGAAAGAAGUUGAGGGACCAAGUUGAAAAACCUAGCAAAAGUUUUCCUAUAAAUAUCAUGCUAAACUGAUUUUUGAAGGGGGGGCAUUUUAGAAACAUCAGAAAAUACAAAAACAAACCCUAAAUCCAUCUCUAACAAGGGAGCCGCCAGCCUCCACAAUUGAAUUUUUUUCUACACUGCAAAAAACGGCCACACAGUAGCCCCCCCGGUUUGAAUCUCUCCAAUCCCCGGCCGUUCCUUUUUCCGUCAACCCUUCCACCGCCAGUGACAGAAACAACAACAGCAGCCGAGGUCCUCCACCACAGAGCCAUUUUUGUCCUCUCGCCAGCCAAAGUUUUCGCAUCCCCUCACCUGACAUUGUUCCCCGAAGCCAUUUACAGCCUUCUUCUCAACCAAAAAACCAGAGGCUCAAGCCCCCCCGGUUUUCCCCAUUGCAACGAACCGGCAGCAGAUCCAGCCGAAGCCCCCUUGCUCAGCAGCGUCUUCUUCUCCUCUCAAUAGCAGCGCCUCCACCCAAAUCAACCCGCAGCUCCGGCGCUUCCCGGGUCUUCUCCCCUCAGCCGAAGCUUCCCUUUUCCUGUUGAAGACGAUCGCUGCUUCCCCAGCUUGGACCCGUGGGUUUCUUCUCCUCACGUCGCCUCAGCAGCAUCGUCUCCUUCUUCGGCCGAACAGCGCCAUCCACACCGUCCGCCAGCAGCGCCGUCCAUAGAUCCACCAUCAGCCAGCAGCACCGCCCGAUCUGCAACCGGCACCAGACCCUCUCCUCUCGGCGAAGCCCUAGGAAUAGACCAGGGAACGAAGAACAUGAAGCAGAUAAUGAUGGAAAGCAAAGGAAAACAGAUCGGAAAAAUUAAUUAAAACAGAUUGCUUGUGGGUUUUCUUUUGGUUGCAGGUGACGGUGGUCUUCACCGCCGGUGAGGAGAGGAAGAAGGAGAGAAGCCGAGCCUGAUCCACCCUGUCCCCUGUUUUGUAUGCGGCGGCGCGUGAACCCACGCGCUGCUAGUGGCGGUGGCGCGUGGGAAGACGCGUCGUCACUGUUCCCAGCACUGUUCCGAUGGUGCAGAAGGUCUUUAGUGCAAUUUCUGGAGUUUUAGGGACUAUUUUGUAAUUUUUUUAAUUAAUUAAUGUAAUUUUUAUUUAUUUAUUUUGUAUUUGUAUUUGUAUUUUGUAUAGUGGAUGUAAAAGAAAAGAAAAGAAAAAGAAAAGAAACAAAAAUAGUGAAAGUGUAUGUAUGUAAUUGUAUUUUGUUUUAUUUAUUUGUAUAUAUUUUUAAUGAUAAAAUUGCAAAUAUAUUAAAGAAGAAUUUAAUAUUUUGAUCGGAUUACGGUUAAGAAUUAUUAGCUUAUACGUAAGUGAUAUUUCUAAUUUCCGAUGAAAAGACAAUUAUUAAAACUUCUUUAACACGUCAAAGCCACGAAGCAGCUUACCUCAGGUAGGGUGCGUUAGGGGUGCUAAUACCUUCCCUAACCAUAACCAGUCCCUUACCCGCGAAUCUCUGACGAGACCAGUACAUCCGGUUUCCUAGUAGCCCGCAAUCAAUUACUAGGUGGCGACUCCAACGAAUCAAAUUCAAGAAAACGCUACAACGAUAAAAAAUCGUCAGCCGAUGCCGCUCGCUGAUUUUUUUUUGGGGUGCGACAUUUGUUAUGGUGUUCUUCCCCUACCGGCCGGUCACCUUUUUUACUGGGUUUUUUUCACUCUGUCUCAGCAAGUCUUUAAUUUAAUGUUUUUAUGUGAUAAAUAUUUUGAAAAACUAACGGAUUAAAUAUAAGUUUCAUGGCUAAAGCAACCAUGGAUCCGAUAGAGAGAGCAAGAGAAAUCUCGAAGGCA
RNAcentral lists this long non-coding RNA (23289 nucleotides) under Populus tremula. Its description in RNAcentral is "long non-coding RNA (PTRE_LNC000003)". Lineage: Eukaryota; Viridiplantae; Streptophyta; Magnoliopsida; Malpighiales; Salicaceae. The record is from RNAcentral.